GACGAACGCUGGCGGCGUGCCUAAUACAUGCAAGUAGAACGCUGAAGGAGGAGCUUGCUUCUCUGGAUGAGUUGCGAACGGGUGAGUAACGCGUAGGUAACCUGCCUGGUAGCGGGGGAUAACUAUUGGAAACGAUAGCUAAUACCGCAUAAUAGUAGAUGUUGCAUGACAUUUGCUUAAAAGGUGCAAUUGCAUCACUACCAGAUGGACCUGCGUUGUAUUAGCUAGUUGGUGAGGUAACGGCUCACCAAGGCGACGAUACAUAGCCGACCUGAGAGGGUGAGCGGCCAGACUGGGACUGAGACAGGGCCCAGACGCCUACGGGAGGCAGCAGGAGGGAAUCUUCGGCAAUGGACGGAAGUCUGACAGAGCAACGCCGAGGGAGUGAAGAAGGUUGUCGGAUCGUAAAGCACGGUUGUAAGAGAAGAACGAGUGUGAGAGUGGAAAGUUCACACUGUGACGGUAUCUUACCAGAAAGGGACGGCUAACUACGUG
RNAcentral lists this ribosomal RNA (495 nucleotides) under uncultured bacterium. RNAcentral's name for it is "partial 16S ribosomal RNA". It matches the Rfam family "Bacterial small subunit ribosomal RNA", at positions 28 to 507 of the family's 1533-position model. The record is from RNAcentral.